GGUUUUAUAGAGUAGUGGUUAGCACGACUGCCUUACAAGCAGAAGGUCCUGGGUUCAAGCCCCAGCGGAGCUA
Molecule: transfer RNA, 73 nt
Filed under: Pteropus alecto (black flying fox)
Lineage: Eukaryota; Metazoa; Chordata; Mammalia; Chiroptera; Pteropodidae
Rfam family: tRNA
About the family: Transfer RNA (tRNA) molecules are approximately 80 nucleotides in length.
Source: Rfam by way of RNAcentral